GAUGGGUGUAGUGGCAUGUUCCUGUAGUCCUAGCUACUCAGGAGGCCAAGGUGGGAGGAUCCCUUGAGCCCAGGAGUUCUGGGCUGUAGUGCACUCUGCCAACCACAUGGCAGGUUUGGCAUCAAUAGGGUGACCAACUGGAAGGGAGGACCACCAAGUUGCCUAAGGAGGUCAGAAAUGAAGCAGGUCAGAACUCCCAUGCUGAUCAGUGGUGGGGUCAUGGCUGUGAAUAGCCGCUGCACUCCAGCCUGGGAACCAUAGUGAGACCCCACCCUAU
This 277-nucleotide signal recognition particle RNA is filed under the name Saimiri boliviensis boliviensis (Bolivian squirrel monkey). Its description in RNAcentral is "Metazoan signal recognition particle RNA (ENSSBOG00000003229.1)". It matches the Rfam family "Metazoan signal recognition particle RNA". Rfam says of the family: The signal recognition particle (SRP) is a universally conserved ribonucleoprotein. It is involved in the co-translational targeting of proteins to membranes. Lineage: Eukaryota; Metazoa; Chordata; Mammalia; Primates; Cebidae. The record is from Rfam by way of RNAcentral.